RNAcentral lists this ribosomal RNA (468 nucleotides) under uncultured bacterium. RNAcentral describes it as "partial 16S ribosomal RNA". It matches the Rfam family "Bacterial small subunit ribosomal RNA", at positions 28 to 507 of the family's 1533-position model. The record is from RNAcentral.
GACGAACGCUGGCGGCGUGCUUAACACAUGCAAGUCGAACGGAAAGGCCCUGCUUUUGUGGGGUGCUCGAGUGGCGAACGGGUGAGUAACACGUGAGUAACCUGCCCUUGACUUUGGGAUAACUUCAGGAAACUGGGGCUAAUACCGGAUAGGAGCUCCUGCUGCAUGGUGGGGGUUGGAAAGUUUCGGCGGUUGGGGAUGGACUCGCGGCUUAUCAGCUUGUUGGGGGGGUAGUGGCUUACCAAGGCUUUGACGGGUAGCCGGCCUGAGAGGGUGACCGGCCACAUUGGGACUGCGAUACGGCCCAAACUCCUACGGGAGGCAGCAGUCGGGGAUAUUGCACGAGGGGCGGAAGCCUGAUGCAGCAACGCCGCGUGCGGGGUGGCGGCCUUCGGGUUGUAAACCGCUUUCGCCUGUGACGAAGCGUGAGUGACGGUAAUGGGUAAAGAAGCACCGGCUAACUACGUG